Molecule: long non-coding RNA, 337 nt
Filed under: Linum usitatissimum (flax)
Lineage: Eukaryota; Viridiplantae; Streptophyta; Magnoliopsida; Malpighiales; Linaceae
Description: long non-coding RNA (LUSI_LNC001552)
Source: RNAcentral
AGGCAUCUCAAUCUCUUCCCUUCUCAACUCCUCGGCAGCAGCUGGUAAUUCCUCUUUGUUGUUUGUUUUCCCCAAAUGAGCAUCGAUCCCAAAGGUCAGAGCUUUUAGUUCUGAAUCAACAGAGCAUCGGAAUCUUGGUCUCCUUCUCCUCUACGAUUUCCUCUUUCUCUUUAUGAAUUUCAUUGGAUUUGUGAUCUAUGUUCUGUCCUCUUACGGGGUUUGGAAGUAAGCUAUCAAAAUGUCAAAAUGCCCUGAGCAUGGAGUACAUUGUUGGAUGUCCUUGUUGCAUGGGCUGAGUAAUGCGAGGACUCUCAAGUUGUGUCACUCUACGAUUGAG